AUAUGGUAACAGGGGAGCUAGAACUUAUGGCUGAGAGGGGCAAUCUGCCCGACCCUUAACCUGAUCUGGGUAAUGCCAGCGUAGGGAGGGUUGAGAAUAAGUACG
RNAcentral lists this non-coding RNA (105 nucleotides) under Peptococcaceae bacterium. RNAcentral describes it as "TPP sequence". It matches the Rfam family "TPP riboswitch aptamer (THI element)". Rfam says of the family: Vitamin B(1) in its active form thiamin pyrophosphate (TPP) is an essential coenzyme that is synthesised by coupling of pyrimidine and thiazole moieties in bacteria. The record is from RNAcentral. Lineage: Bacteria; Bacillati; Bacillota; Clostridia; Eubacteriales; Peptococcaceae.